RNAcentral lists this ribosomal RNA (518 nucleotides) under uncultured Glomus. RNAcentral describes it as "SSU rRNA". It matches the Rfam family "Eukaryotic small subunit ribosomal RNA", at positions 548 to 1070 of the family's 1831-position model. Lineage: Eukaryota; Fungi; Glomeromycota; Glomeromycetes; Glomerales; Glomeraceae. The record is from RNAcentral.
UUGGAGGGCAAGUCUGGUGCCAGCAGCCGCGGUAAUUCCAGCUCCAAUAGCGUAUAUUAAAGUUGUUGCAGUUAAAAAGCUCGUAGUUGAAUUUCGGGGUCAGCAGGUUGGUCGUGCCAAUGGUAUGCACUGGCCUUGCUGAUUCCUCCCUCUUGACGAGCCGUAAUGCCAUUAAUUUGGUGUUGCGGGGAAUCAGGACUGUUACUUUGAAAAAAUUAGAGUGUUUAAAGCAGGCAAGCGCUUGAAUACAUUAGCAUGGAAUAAUGAAAUAGGACGUUUAAUCCUAUUUUGUUGGUUUCUAGGAUUGACGUAAUGAUUAAUAGGGAUAGUUGGGGGCAUUAGUAUUCAAUUGUCAGAGGUGAAAUUCUUGGAUUUAUUGAAGACUAACUACUGCGAAAGCAUUUGCCAAGGAUGUUUUCAUUAAUCAAGAACGAAAGUUAGGGGAUCGAAGUCGAUCAGAUACCGUCGUAGUCUUAACCAUAAACUAUGCCGACUAGGGAUCGGGAUGGAUGUUAAUU